RNAcentral lists this ribosomal RNA (742 nucleotides) under uncultured Planctomycetota bacterium. RNAcentral's name for it is "bacterial SSU rRNA". It matches the Rfam family "Bacterial small subunit ribosomal RNA", at positions 552 to 1288 of the family's 1533-position model. Lineage: Bacteria; Pseudomonadati; Planctomycetota. The record is from RNAcentral.
AAUUCGCCCUUGAGCACGUAGGUGGGUUUGUAAGUCAGACGUGAAAGCCUUCUGUUCAACGGAAGAAUUGCAUCUGAAACUGCGAGUCUUGAGUGGAGGAGGGGAGAAUGGAACUUCUGGUGGAGCGGUGAAAUGCGUAGAUAUCAGAAGGAACGCCGGCGGCGAAAGCGAUUCUCUGGCCUAUUACUGACACUCAGUGUGCGAAAGCUAGGGGAGCAAACGGGAUUAGAUACCCCGGUAGUCCUAGCCGUAAACGAUGGGCACUAAGUAGUGGGAAUUACCGAUGUUCUCUCUGCCGUAGCUAACGCAUUAAGUGCCCCGCCUGGAGAGUACGGCCGCAAGGCUAAAACUCAAAAGAAUUGACGGGGGCUCGCACAAGCGGUGGAGCAUGUGGCUUAAUUCGAUGCAACGCGAAAAACCUUACCGGGGCUUGACAUGUUAGAAGUAGGAACCUGAAAGGGUAACGAACGGUAUCCAGUCCGUAGCUAUCACAGGUGUUGCAUGGCUGUCGUCAGCUCGUGUCGUGAGACGUUGGGUUAAGUCCCCUAACGAGCGAAACCCUUGUUUUUAGUUACCAGCGGGUUGUGCCGGGUACUCUAGAAAGACUGCCGUCGUCAAGACGGAGGAAGGUGGGGAUGACGUCAAGUCAUCAUGGCCCUUAUGCCCCGGGCUGCACACGUGCUACAAUGGUCGGUACAAACGGAAGCGAAGCCGAGAGGUGAAGCGAAUCCAAGGGCGAAUU